GUGAGGAAUAUUGGUCAAUGGGCGGGAGCCUGAACCAGCCAAGUCGCGUGAAGGAAGAAGGAUCUAUGGUUCGUAAACUUCUUUUGCAGGGGAAUAAAGUGCAGGGCGUGUCCUGUUUUGUAUGUACCCUGAGAAUAAGGAUCGGCUAACUCCGUGCCAGCAGCCGCGGUAAUACGGAGGAUCCGAGCGUUAUCCGGAUUUAUUGGGUUUAAAGGGUGCGUAGGUGGUUUGAUAAGUCAGCGGUGAAAGUUUGCAGCUUAACUGUAAAAAUGCCGUUGAAACUGUCGGACUUGAGUGUAAAUGAGGUAGGCGGAAUGCGUGGUGUAGCGGUGAAAUGCAUAGAUAUCACGCAGAACUCCGAUUGCGAAGGCAGCUUACUAAGCUACAACUGACACUGAAGCACGAAAGCGUGGGGAUCAAACAGGAUUAGAUACCCUGGUAGUCC
This 445-nucleotide ribosomal RNA is filed under the name uncultured bacterium. RNAcentral describes it as "partial 16S ribosomal RNA". It matches the Rfam family "Bacterial small subunit ribosomal RNA", at positions 354 to 796 of the family's 1533-position model. The record is from RNAcentral.